AUACGGAGGGUGCAAGCGUUGUCCGGAUUUAUUGGGUUUAAAGGGUGCGUAGGUGGUUUUUUAAGUCAGUGGUGAAAGCCUACAGCUUAACUGUAGAGGUGCCAUUGAAACUGGGGAACUUGAGUAUGGACGAGGUAGGCGGAAUUUGUGGUGUAGCGGUGAAAUGCAUAGAUACCACAAAGAACACCGAUAGCGAAGGCAGCUUACUAGGCCAUAACUGACACUGAGGCACGAAAGUGUGGGGAGCGAACAGGAUUAGAAACCCGGGUAGUCC
This 274-nucleotide ribosomal RNA is filed under the name uncultured bacterium. RNAcentral's name for it is "partial 16S ribosomal RNA". It matches the Rfam family "Bacterial small subunit ribosomal RNA", at positions 523 to 796 of the family's 1533-position model. The record is from RNAcentral.